AUUGAACGCUGGCGGAAUGCUUUACACAUGCAAGUCGAACGGCAGCACGGACUUCGGUCUGGUGGCGAGUGGCGAACGGGUGAGUAAUGUAUCGGAACGUGCCCAGUCGUGGGGGAUAACGUAGUGAAAAUUACGCUAAUACCGCAUACGAUCUAUGGAUGAAAGCGGGGGAUCGCAAGACCUCGCGCGAUUGGAGCGGCCGAUAUCAGAUUAGGUAGUUGGUGGGGUAAAGGCCCACCAAGCCAACGAUCUGUAGCUGGUCUGAGAGGACGACCAGCCACACUGGAACUGAGACACGGUCCAGACUCCUACGGGAGGCAGCAGUGGGGAAUUUUGGACAAUGGGCGAAAGCCUUAUCCAGCCAUUCCGCGUGCAGGAUGAAGGCCCUCGGGUUGUAAACUGCUUUUGUACAGAACGAAAAGGUUUCUACUAAUACUAGGAGCUCAUGACGGUACUGUAAGAAUAAGCACCGGCUAACUACGUGCCAGCAGCCACCGUAA
This 500-nucleotide ribosomal RNA is filed under the name uncultured bacterium. RNAcentral describes it as "partial 16S ribosomal RNA". It matches the Rfam family "Bacterial small subunit ribosomal RNA", at positions 30 to 523 of the family's 1533-position model. The record is from RNAcentral.